GAUGAUCCACCGUCGGAAUCUCGGAGAAAAGUGUCCGGACGGUGGGUCUCUGCGGUCUCCUUUUCGAUCAUGUGUGAUGAGGGGGAAUUGGUGGGAAAUGGAAUAGGGGGUGAUUAGGGUUAGGGUUUUUGUUGGUGGAGGGGUGGAAGUGGGUAAUUGAAAUGUAGAGGUUGAAGGGAGUGAAGAGAUCAUGGUCAAGAUUGUUGUUUGGGGGAUGAACGUUGAAGGGGGUUGUUUAAUGGAUGUGAAGAAGAU
RNAcentral lists this long non-coding RNA (255 nucleotides) under Helianthus annuus (common sunflower). RNAcentral describes it as "hypothetical non coding rna". Lineage: Eukaryota; Viridiplantae; Streptophyta; Magnoliopsida; Asterales; Asteraceae. The record is from RNAcentral.